This 92-nucleotide transfer RNA is filed under the name Pseudomonadota bacterium. RNAcentral's name for it is "tRNA-Sec". It matches the Rfam family "Selenocysteine transfer RNA". RNAcentral also lists the same sequence under 1 other name. Lineage: Bacteria; Pseudomonadati; Pseudomonadota. The record is from RNAcentral.
GGGAGCGGUUGAGGGCUGGUGCCCUCCCAGGACUUCAAAUCCUGUGCACCGCCCAAAAGGCGGUGGGUGGGUUCAAUUCCCAUCCGCUCCCG